RNAcentral lists this long non-coding RNA (4137 nucleotides) under Mytilus galloprovincialis (Mediterranean mussel). The record is from RNAcentral. Lineage: Eukaryota; Metazoa; Mollusca; Bivalvia; Mytilida; Mytilidae.
CUCAUCCGUGACCUUUAUUUUUUAUUAUUAUUUUCAAUUAAGCUGUUCUUAAACUAAACUAUUGUAAAAUUUGAGCGAUUUCUGUAAUUAAGUUCUCUUAUUUCGGUAUUACCUCUAUUUCUGCUAUUAGUUCAACAGAAAAAAGGUACCUUUACAAAAAUGUAUGCUUCUUUCGAAGGCAGGUUGUGAACGGUGACCCCAUUUUUUUUUAUUAAGUAUAAGAUUUAAGUACGUUUAUCAUUUUUACAGAAACAAUUUUUCCUUGUAGAUGUUGCAGAUACAUUCAUACAAAUGAUGUUGAAGAAACAAAGAGAAAAGGAACUUGGACUGUACCAGUUUGUUUGCAGCUUCUAAGGUGAAGUAUACUUAUUUAAAUGUUUUGUAAAAAUAAGAAGAUGUGGUAUGAUUGUAAAUGAAACAACUCUCCAUGAGAGACCAGUGAGACAAAAAUUAAACUUUGUUUGAUUUUAACAAAAGUUGAAUUCUUGGACUUCUUUGAUGCUGAAUCUAAACAUGUACUUAGAUUUUUGAUUAUGGACUGUUGGUCCAAAUCGGGGUUCAAAUUAAACUUUGUUUGAUUUCAACAAAAAUGGGGUUCUUUAAUAUGCUGAAUCUAACCGUGUAUUUAGAUUUUUAAUAUUUGGGCCCGGUUAUCAAAUUGAUCCACAUUGACAUGCUUGAGGUCUAAAGGGUCUAAAAUUGCACAUUAUUUGAUUUCAUCAAAAAUUGAAUUCUUGGGGUUCUAUGAUCAUGAUGAUAUGCUGAAUCUAACCAUGUAUUUAUAUUUUGGAUAUUUGACCAUAAUAGGCAAAUGUCCAAUUUAAAAUUUAUAAGUUUUUUUCUCGCCUUGACGGAGUAAAAAAAUGAGACAUAGGUAUGGUGUUCCCCGCGGCGGCAGCAUCAACAAUGUAUUAGUUUGUGAUUAGGUCAAUUUAUGGUGAACCACUAGUGGUAGGUCAAUGAUAUUUGGUAUGCAGUUGUAUAAGCAUUGGCAUAUCUCAUUUUCAUGGAGAUUUUUUUACUCCGCCUCCUUAGUCAUGGUCUAUAGACUUUGAUAAUUUUGCUAAGUUAAUAUGUAUUAGUUUGUGAUAAGGUCAGUUCAAGGGGAACCAUUAGUGGUAGGCCAAUGUUAAUUGGUGUUCAGUUUUAUAAACAUUAGCACAUCUCAUUUCCAUGGAGAAUAUUUGGCCCUGCCCCCUCAGUCAUGGUCUAUUGACUUUGAAACUUUUGCUUAGUUUACAUGUAUUAGUUUGUGAUAAUAUCAGUUUAAGAUGAACUGCUAAUGUUAAGUCAAUGAUAUUUGGUAUGCAAAUUUAUUGUCAUUUGAAAGUGUUGUUUUCAUGGAGAUUAUAUAGCCCCACCCCUGAUCAUGGUUCAUUGACUUUGAAACUUUUACAUAGUUUAAAAGUUAAUGUUUGUGUUUAGGUUCGUUUAAAGGGAACUACUUAUUAUGAGUCAAUGGUAAUUGGUAUGCAGUUGUAUUAUAUUUAUCAUUGGCACAUCUCAUUCCAUGGAGAUUGUUUAGCCAUGUACCUUCAGUCAUUGUUCAUAGACUUUGAAUAUUUGCAUAACUUACAUGUUAAAAUAUUGCUAUUUAAUUUCAACAUUGCAUUAUCAAAAUUACAUGAAUAUUUGCAUAACUUACAUGUUAAAAUAUUGCUAUUUAAUUUCAACAUUGCAUAAUCAAAAUUACAUGAAUAUUUGCAUAACUUACAUGUUAAAAUAUUGCUAUUUAAUUUCAACAUUGCAUAAUCAAAAUUACAAAAAGGGGAUAUCGAUACAUAUCUCUGUGAUAACAGUUUAUUAAGUGUAAGUUCUUAGACCACAUUCAUUCUGUGUCAGAAACCUAUCUUGUGUCAACUAUUUAAUCACAAUCCAAAUUCAGAGCUGUAUCAAGCUUAAAUGUUGUGUCCAUACUUGCCCCAACUGUUCAGGGUUCGACCUCUGUGGUCCUAUAAAGCUGUGCCCUGCGGAGCAUCUGGUUUGUAAAGUGAAAUUCUCUCUUAUUAUAAGUAAUAGGAUAACUAUAUUUGGUAUGUGAGUACCUUGCAAGGUCCUCAUGGCUGUCAUACAGUUUUCACUUGACCUCGACCUCCUUUCAUGGAUCAGUGAACAGUUUUGGUGAUCAUGGAUGGCUUUCAUAGUCAUGGAUACAUUUUAAGUUUUGGUUAAAGUCAUGUUAAUUGUUUUGUGUAAACAAAAUUGUCGUCAAGUGACCAUCAAGUCCAUAUCAGAUACUAAAAGCAAUAUGUCUAGUAUAUUUGGUGUAUGGAGGACUGUAAGGUGUACAUGUCCAACUGGCAGGUGUCAUCUGACCUUGACCUCAUUUCCAUGGUUCAGUGAUUAUAGUUGAGUUUUUGUGGUUUUUUUUUCUGUUUUUCAUAUACUAUUUGCAAUAGGUCUAAUAUAUUUGGUGUAUGGAAAUAAUAACAGAAUGAUUGUUAGGUGUACAUUUCUAGCUGGUAUGUGUCAUCUGCCCUUGACCUCAUUUUCAUGGUCAGUGGUCAAAGUUAAGUUUUUGAGUUUUUGUCUUUUUAUCUAAUAAUAUAUGCAAUAAGUCUACUGCUAUAAUAACUAUAUUAGGUGUAUGGAAAUAUAUUAGUUGUAUGGAAGAAUUAUUAGCUGUAUAGAUGUGUGCCUUGUAUGGUUCAUCUCACCUUGCCUGUCCUUGGCCUCAUUUUCAUGGUUUAGUGGUCAAUUUUUAGUUUUUUUAGGUUAAUGUUAAGGUUAUGUUUCAAUUGUAAUAAAGCUUUAUUUUAAGGACUACAAAAGAAGGCGAGACAUUUCAGCGUGUGCACUCUUUGUUUUAUAUUAAACCCUAGAAAGAAGCUACAGAUUAAUGUUAACUGCAAAAAUACUAAAAUCCUUUAUUAAUUAGAUCAUGUAGAUACAGGAAAUGAAAAUAUUUUGAAAUUUUUUAUCAUAAAAAUGGUAAUGCUUAUAUAUUCAAGUUUCACUAAAUUCCAAGAAGGGUUUCCACAAAUAACAAUGACUGAUUUUCAAAAUGAUCAUCAUGUAAAAAUGAAGAGAUGUGCUAAGAUUGCCCAUGAAAACUAUCUUUAUGAACAAUGACAGUUCAGUGGUUUGCUUUCAGCCUUUAGCAAAAAUAAUUACCAUAUAUAUUGUAAUAAGCUAUAAAUAAAAGCCCCCCAUUGUAAAAUGUUAAACAAUUAAAAAGUAAAAAACAGCGUCCUGAUCUUUAUAAGUUCGAAGAAUAAAAUUGAGUCAUAUUAUGGUAUGAUGUUGUUGUUAGCGAUGUAUGUCGACACAUAUGGUUUCCGGAUAAUUAUAUAGUUUAAGCGAAUGGAUAUCCAUGAAAUUUUACACAAGGUUUAAUACCAAAAAGGAAGGUUGGGUUGAUUUUUGGGGUGAUGGUACCAACAGUUUAGAAAUUAGGGGCAAAAAAGAAGCAUUUUUGUAGUUUCCAGACAUUAACUUGUGUGCCAGAGUGUACUAAUCUCUCUGAAAUUGUUCUUCAAGGUUCCAUAUCACAAAGGGUAGACUGGAAUUGUUUAAAGGGGUAAUUGCCUCAAACGUUCAGGAAAUAGGGGGUCAAAAAACAAGCAUUUUUUCUAAUUUCCAGACAAUAUUUUGUGUUUAAGUGUAUGGAUUUCUUUAAAAUUGUACUGCAAAGUACCAUACCACAAAGGAAAAGGCUGGGAUUAAGUUUUGGGGUAAUUACUGAAAGGGGGUUGAAAAAAAUUGGGGGAGGGGGAUUUUUUUUCUCAUAAUUUUGAUCAAAAUCCAAAUACAGACAGUCUAUCAAGCUUGAAUAUUGUGUCCAAACAUGCACCAACUGGUCAGUCAAAUAACAAGGCUGCGCUGCACAUCAUUUUCUUAAUCAUAUUAAUCUGACAUGUUAAAGUUUGUACAUUAUGAAGUUACUAACCUGUUGAUUUUGUGUAUUUCAGAUUAUUAUUGAAAAAAGAGCACUUUGAAGUACUAGGAGAAUUUGAAAACAUCUUGGUGAAAUAGUCUGACUGAUUAUGACAGAACAUCAAAAGAAAUGACGAAAAAUUACACAUCUUAUCAAAAUAGUACUACUAGAAACUAAAAGCUACUUGCAAUUUUCACUGGUUUUGAGAUCAGUAACAGUCUGACAAGGAAAGAAUUUAAUGAACAUGAUUAUGAUGCCUC